This 465-nucleotide ribosomal RNA is filed under the name uncultured bacterium. RNAcentral describes it as "partial 16S ribosomal RNA". It matches the Rfam family "Bacterial small subunit ribosomal RNA", at positions 28 to 507 of the family's 1533-position model. The record is from RNAcentral.
GACGAACGCUGGCGGCGUGCUUAACACAUGCAAGUCGAACGGUGAACUCCGCUUGCGGGGGGUUCAGCGGCGAACGGGUGCGUAACACGUGGGCAACCUGCCCCCACCUAUGGGAUAACUCUAAGAAAUUGGGGCUAAUACCGGUUAUGACCGCUGUCCGCAUGGUCAGGUGGCGGUAAGAUUAAGCGGCUGGGGCUGGGCGUGCGGCCUAUUCGCUAGUUGGUGGGGUAGUGGCUUACCAAGGCGACGACGGGUAGCCGGCCUGAGAGGGUGGCCGGCAACACUGGGACUGAGAGACGGCCCAGACUGCUACGGGAGGCAGCAGUGGGGAGUAUUGCGGAGUGGGCGAGAGCCUGAGGCAGCGACGCCGCGUGGGUGAUGACGGCCUUCGGGUUGUAAACCUCUUUCAGCAGGGACGAAGCGAAAGUGACGGUACCUGCAGAAGAAGCACCGGCCAACUACGUG